UACGAAGGGGGCUAGCGUUGUUCGGAAUUACUGGGCGUAAAGCGCGCGUAGGCGGGCAUUUAAGUCAGGGGUGAAAUCCCAGGGCUCAACCCUGGAACUGCCUUUGAUACUGGAUGCCUGGAGUUCGGGAGAGGUGAGUGGAAUUCCGAGUGUAGAGGUGAAAUUCGUAGAUAUUCGGAGGAACACCAGAAGCGAAGGCGGCUCACUGGCCCGAUACUGACGCUGAGGCGCGAAAGCGUGGGGAGCAAACAGG
Molecule: ribosomal RNA, 253 nt
Filed under: uncultured bacterium
Lineage: Bacteria
Description: partial 16S ribosomal RNA
Rfam family: Bacterial small subunit ribosomal RNA
Source: RNAcentral